Triticum aestivum (bread wheat) is the source of this 3217-nucleotide long non-coding RNA. RefSeq lists it as uncharacterized. The transcript has 2 exons. NCBI's taxonomy places the organism in Eukaryota, Viridiplantae, Streptophyta, Magnoliopsida, Poales, Poaceae. The record is from RefSeq and is a predicted model, not a curated record.
CUCAUCUCGACCUCCAGACUCGAGCGCUUCGCCGCCUCCCGCCGGCCGCCCCCCUCUCCCCCCGUCGCCGCGCGCCGCCACCGACGCCGUGGCCGUUGGCGGCUCCCCCCGCCCCUGCUACCAUGGUGCCGCCGGGACUCCUCCCCGCUGCUGAAAUUCCCCAUCGCCAUCCCAAGGGCCUCGCCCGCCGCGCUCCCCUGGACCCUGAGCGCCGCCGCCCCAGCCACCCUCGAGCCUCCACCAGGUGACCCCAGGCGCCGCUGAUCCCGUGUGCUGCUGCUCAAAGAUUCCCCUGCUUGCUGCCCUCUCCCUCCCACUCCACGGUGCACGGGGCAGGGGGAACUGGGUGGCGGCGGCGGCAUGAUCUCCGGUAAGCAGCGGGGCCCAGCGGCGGGGCCGGGAUCCGGUGGCGGCGGCAAGCUCCUGUAGGUAGGCGACGAGCGAGAGAGAGGGAUUGAGAGAAGGGGAGAGAAAUGGAAGGAAGGAGAAGAAGACGAGCAUGGGCAGUGGGGCGUAGGAGAGAGAGAGGGCGGAGGCAAGGAGGAUAAGGACAGAUGGCAGGGGGCGGCCUGUGUGAUUGCUCCGGUGAUGGCGUCCGGCGUAGGUUCAUACCUCGGCGCGCAGCCGCAAUCCCUCCCCUCCACCGUCUCCACGUGGUGUAGGCUGCUGCAAUCUCGCUAUCCCAGCGAUAUCCCAGAUGCGCGCCACAGCCAGCCAACAAGACCACUAUGUAGCUCAGGCCCAGAAUUGGUCAAUUUUAUACAGCUGCAAUACACAACGAAACACAAAAUAGAUGCUCCUAGGCUCGAUCUUUCUACUGCAACAUACUCGCCCAAUACUUAUUAUCGCACUUUUCUCAACUAACCAUACUCUGUAAGUUUGUGACGAUAACAAGAGGCUGAUAUUUGAGCUGGACUCUUGCGGACAACAGGUUCAGGAGCUCCAAGCCAACAACGGCCAUUGCCUUGAAAAAGAUGUAAGAUUUCUACUAUCUAGCUUCUGUCACAAGAUUUGCUAUAGCCUGUUAUUUUGUAUGGCAGUCAGUUUGUUGUAAGAAUGAGUAAUAGAUCUAUUGUUCAAUUCUUGUUUGAGAUAGAAUACAAGUUAUGUUAAAUAUUCAAUGUUUAUUGAACAUGACCAUAGUGGAAAAGGCUUUAAAGAUAAGAGAUGAGAUAUUUUUUCCUUUAACAGUUCAAUUUCUGAAAAAAAUUCAACACAAUAGCCGAAUUUAUUCCAAUUUUCACAUAUAAUACUUGCCGCUAAGAACUUAUAGGUAUAUGCUUUCACAUGCAGUCCUGUCUUUGCUAACACGUAUGGUGUCAGUUUAGAAAGACCUACGUAAUGUUGUUUUGAUUCUUGGCUUUAGGGGAAAAGGGAUAGGUUCAGAAAAUAUUUAUCUAGAAUAGAUGUAUAUUUAUGUAAGAGGAUAGAUGUACUUACUUACAGAACUACAGUUUGCUGCAGUUGCUAGGGACUGUAGAUUACGGUUCUAAUUCAUUCUUUUGCAUUUCAGUCUGUCAUUCAUUGUUACUUGAAUGUUUCUCUUUUUGUGAUCUCCCAUAGAAGCUUUUUGUUUGUUUUUUCACUGAAACAGCUCUACACGCCUUGUGAAAUUUCUGAUGUAGUUUGGAAAUAUGAGUGAGAACUGCAAGUACGUUGAUACUGCCCUCUAUGUAUUGAAUCCAAGGAUUUUUUUAAUAUAUAUUCUUUUUGUUAAUUUCAAGGGAGGAAGAGAACUCCAGUACUAUGGUAAUGUUCUUGAUUCUGAUUCAACAUGAUUGAUAAUGUUGUUUAGGACCCUAAGCUUUGUCAUGGCUGAUUUAAAUAGGCACAUCUGGUUUAGAAGGAAAGCACUGCUACUAAUUUUAGAACUAGGAUGUCGUAUUUGACAGCUGUCAGGUAUUGCUUAUUUGCAUUGUAAGAUCACAAUUCUAAGGUUAAUCUUUAGUUGUUUAGCAUUGCAUAUUUGGGUCCUUGAAUUCUCUCCUCGAAGAUCAACACAUUUGGUCAGAUUUGGCUUAUUUAAUAAUUAGCAAACAAUAAAUAUUGAACAUCUAUUCAGUGCGACAUUUCUUACAGAUGGUCAGGUCGACAGCGGCAACAUCGUCUUCAUUGUACCAAGGUGCUGCUGCUACUACAACGGCAACCUCCUACUUCCCGAACAUGACCAUUGCAGCUAUCCUUGCUGUAAAUUUUGUCUCUUUUCUUUCUCAUAAAUUAUGGACAUAUGGGCAUUCUGAUCAGGUAAUGUUCUUCUCUAAGAUUUGAUAUUUGAAGCAUGAUGUUUGCGAUCAGGUAAUUUUCCUAGGGUCUUUCAGAUGUCAAUGUUGAUGGAAAAUACACAUGUUGCAUACCUUUUUUGAAAUCAGAAGUGGAUACUAACAUUUCACAUCAUGACAUUGUAGUUUAUAGUGCUAAGCUUGACUCCUCCAUGGUUAUAAUAAUGGACUUACAGUGAGUUGAUUUGUAGUUAACUUUGUCAUUAAGUGGCUGGCUUUUAUCUGAACAAUGCAGUCUUGCAUUCUCUAGGGAGCCAGAGCAAGUCCUUCCUUCCGGUUUGAAUUUGGGGAUUCGAUGAUUUCUGUCGGAUAUAUCAUGUCUAUUUGAUCAGAAAACAUGAGAUGCAAAACAUGUUUUUCCAGCAGAAAUGAAUUCAUGGAUUGGAACUCCUACAGAUUUGAAGUUGUAUGCUGGAUCGACUGCAUAUUUUAUUAAUGGUUUAUCAGUUCAUCAUUCCCAUUAGUUCAAUCGUGGCUGCAGUAACGAGUUUGCCACUACUUCAAUGGAUAUAAUGGAGCAUAGUCGUCAUUAUGUAUGCAAAAGCAUGUAUCAAAAUUUGAAUUACCACGGCGCAUUUAAUUCUCUUGGAGUACUAAACAGUCAUGCGGCUCUCCACAGAUUUCUUCCAAAUGCCUUGCAAAGUUCCGCAGAGAACAAGCUUUCUCGGAAUUUCUUCCAAAUGCAGCAAGUUCCGAGCAAGCAAAACUAUACUCUGUAAAUAAUCUUCCUGAACCAGAGUUCUUAAUUUUCUUUCUAUUUUUACCUUUUCCUGUACUGGAUUUUAAUGUACUGAACACUCUCCUUAAUCAAUGGGAGCAACACCUGAUUGCCUUCAUAUAAAGAAACACAAUGUAAACACAUACGAGGCGAUGUAUAGCUAGCAGGAACAGGACAAAAAUGCUGCUCGAAGGUGAGUGGAAGUGCAUGAUUUUCUAGA